RNAcentral lists this ribosomal RNA (253 nucleotides) under uncultured bacterium. Its description in RNAcentral is "partial 16S ribosomal RNA". It matches the Rfam family "Bacterial small subunit ribosomal RNA", at positions 524 to 776 of the family's 1533-position model. The record is from RNAcentral.
UACAGAGGGUGCGAGCGUUAAUCGGAAUCACUGGGCGUAAAGGGCGCGUAGGCGGCUCGGUAAGUAGGGGGUGAAAUCCUGCGGCUUAACCGCAGGGCUGCCUUCUAAACUGUCGAGCUUGAGCACGGUAGAGGCAGAUGGAAUUCCCGGUGUAGCGGUGGAAUGCGUAGAGAUCGGGAAGAACAUCAGUGGCGAAGGCGGUCUGCUGGGCCGUUGCUGACGCUGAGGCGCGACAGCGUGGGGAGCAAACAGG